Molecule: long non-coding RNA, 560 nt
Organism: Oncorhynchus tshawytscha (Chinook salmon)
Lineage: Eukaryota; Metazoa; Chordata; Actinopteri; Salmoniformes; Salmonidae
Source: Ensembl
ACUCCACCACUACCACAUAUCUACAGUACACUGUGUGCCCUCAGGCCCCUACUCCACCACUACCACAUAUCUACAGUACACUGUGUGCCCUCAGGCCCCUACUCCACCACUACCACAUAUCUACAACACACUGUGUGCCCUCAGGUCCCUACUCCACCACUACCACAUAUCUACAGUACACUGUGUGCCCUCAGGCCCCUACUCCACCACUACCACAUAUCUACAGUACACUGUGUGCCCUCAGGCCCCUACUCCACCACUACCACAUAUCUACAACACACUGUGUGCCCUCAGGUCCCUACUCCACCACUACCACAUAUCUACAACACACUGUGUGCCCUCAGGCCCCUACUCCACCACUACCACAUAUCUACAGUACACUGUGUGCCCUCAGGCCCCUACUCCACCACUACCUCAUAUCUACAGUACACUGUGUGCCCUCAGGCCCCUCCUCCACCACUACCUCAUAUCUACAACACACUGUGUGCCCUCAGGCCCCUAGUCCACCACUACCACAUAUCUACAACACACUGUGUGCCCUCAGGCCCCUACUCCACCAC